GCUGAUUUGCUGCCAUCCAUCCACUUUUCUAUCCACCCCACAAGCAUUGGGCACAAUGAAGUGGGUAACCUUUAUUUCCCUUCUCUUCCUUUUCAGCUCUGCUUAUUCUAGGGGUGUGUUUCAUCAAGAAGCACACAAGAGUGAGAUUGCUCAUCGAUUUACAGAUUUGGGAGAAGGACAUUUCAAAGGCCUGUAAGUUAAAGAAUCAACAUUAAUGUUCUUGAUAGCAUUGGUUACUACUCUGAAGUCGUCAUAUUCCAGAUU
Molecule: long non-coding RNA, 264 nt
Filed under: Chinchilla lanigera (long-tailed chinchilla)
Lineage: Eukaryota; Metazoa; Chordata; Mammalia; Rodentia; Chinchillidae
Description: lncRNA (ENSCLAG00000024616.1)
Source: RNAcentral